GGCCUUGACAUACUAAGAACUUUCCAGAGAUGGAUUGGUGCCUUCGGGAACUUAGAUACAGGUGCUGCAUGGCUGUCGUCAGCUCGUGUCGUGAGAUGUUGGGUUAAGUCCGCAACGAGCGCAACCCUUUUCCUUAUUUGCCAGCGGGUAAUGCCGGGAACUUUAAGGAUACUGCCAGUGACAAACUGGAGGAAGGCGGGGACGACGUCAAGUCAUCAUGGCCCUUACGGCCAGGGCUACACACGUGCUACAAUGGUCGGUACAAAGGGUUGCUACCUCGCGAGAGGAUGCUAAUCUCAAAAAGCCGAUCGUAGUCCGGAUCGCAGUCUGCAACUCGACUGCGUGAAGUCGGAAUCGCUAGUAAUCGCGGAUCAGGAUGCCGCGGUGAAUACGUUCCCGGGCCUUGUACACACCGCCCGUCACACCAUGGGAGUUUGUUGCACCAGAAGUAGGUAGUCUAACCGCAAGGAGGACGCUUACCACGGUGUGGCCGAUGACUGGGGUGAAGUCGUAACAAGGUAAGCGUAGAUGA
RNAcentral lists this ribosomal RNA (532 nucleotides) under uncultured bacterium. Its description in RNAcentral is "bacterial SSU rRNA". It matches the Rfam family "Bacterial small subunit ribosomal RNA", at positions 977 to 1509 of the family's 1533-position model. The record is from RNAcentral.